GUCCUCGUCAGCUUUUAAGACUGUCCCCAUAUAAGAUAAUCUUAAGAUUAGAACAGGAGAUCGUCCCGAUAGUAUCCCUUCGAAUUUCAUUAUAUUUUGGACAUUUGAAGAAAUAAUGAGAGGUAGUUUCUACUCGACCACAGGAACACAGUGCGUUCUCGAUUAGAUUUUUUUUAAAUAGAUGGUCCCUUAGAACACUACUCUGGAGUCUUAGUCUUGCUAAACAUAUCUGUUCUCUUCUACAGCCUAAGUGAAAAUACAAUGGUAUUUUAUUAUUAUUUUGAGAGAGAUAAGUCUUAAAACCCGAUUUUGAUUGAUUUAGACGAAUGUCGUCUGGAAUAUUAUUCCAAAGGUUUACUACGGCUGGUAGAAAUGACUUUUGAUAAUAGCUUGUUCUGCAUAAUACAGUUUGUAAAUUUGAAGACCCCUUAGUCCUGUGGUCGUGUAGAUCUAGUCUCUGAUUUGGAACUAACACAGAAAGAUAAUCAGGACAAUCUCCGUGAAACAUUUGAUGAAAUUUUAAUAACUUAUGUUUAUCACGCCGAGACUGGAGAGUUUCCC
This 561-nucleotide long non-coding RNA is filed under the name Mytilus galloprovincialis (Mediterranean mussel). The record is from RNAcentral. Lineage: Eukaryota; Metazoa; Mollusca; Bivalvia; Mytilida; Mytilidae.